AACGAACGCUGGCGGCAGGCCUAACACAUGCAAGUCGAACGCUGUAGCAAUACAGAGUGGCAGACGGGUGAGUAACGCGUGGGAAUCUACCCAAUGGUACGGAAUAACUCAGGGAAACUUGAGCUAAUACCGUAUGUGCCCGAAAAGGGGAAGAUUUAUCGCCAUUGGAUGAGCCCGCGUCGGAUUAGCUAGUUGGUGGGGUAACGGCCCACCAAGGCGACGAUCCGUAGCUGGUCUGAGAGGAUGAUCAGCCACACUGGGACUGAGACACGGCCCAGACCUCCGUACGGGUGGCACG
This 298-nucleotide ribosomal RNA is filed under the name uncultured Pseudomonadota bacterium. RNAcentral's name for it is "uncultured proteobacterium partial 16S ribosomal RNA". It matches the Rfam family "Bacterial small subunit ribosomal RNA", at positions 29 to 351 of the family's 1533-position model. The record is from RNAcentral. Lineage: Bacteria; Pseudomonadati; Pseudomonadota.